AUUCUCUUUGACUAGGGAUCCAAAGAGGGUGCUAGACCCUUACGCAUUGUUGACUUUUCGUACGCGUUCGUUUCUUGGAGUAGGGUUGUUUUGGAUCGCAGCCCAAAGUAGGUGGUAUACUUCAUCUAAAGCUAAAUACGACUACGAAUCCGAUAGCAAACAAGUACCGUGAGGGAAAGUUGCAAAGUACUUUGAAGAGAGAGUUCAAGAGGACGUGAAACCGGUAGGAUGGAAGCAGAUAAAGUUGACGAACGUGUAUCGUAUUCAGAUCUACAAUUUGUGGGUUGUUUUUACGAUCGAUGUGGGCUGGCGUCUUUGGUUAACUUAGUGUCUGGCGGCAAUGGUGACCCUGCGGAGGGAUAAUCGGUUGUCGUGCGAUGCUGGGUAUGGCUAGAGGUUCGCUGGUCUUAUAGUCAUCGCUUUAUCUGACCCGUCUUGAAACACGGACCAAGGAGUGUAGCGCUUACGCGAGUCUUAGAGUGUGUCAAAACUUUGAGGCGUAACGAAAGUAAAUGUGGAUUUAUUCACUGACUUGGGAUGCGUUGUCUUUUUUGGAUAGCGUUGGACCAUGGUUUUAUCGUAAUCGCUUGCGAUGCGGUGAAAAUAGAGCGUAAGCGGUGCGA
RNAcentral lists this ribosomal RNA (623 nucleotides) under Steinernema sp. eKS15.4_TH. Its description in RNAcentral is "eukaryotic LSU rRNA". It matches the Rfam family "Eukaryotic large subunit ribosomal RNA", at positions 184 to 814 of the family's 3401-position model. Lineage: Eukaryota; Metazoa; Nematoda; Chromadorea; Rhabditida; Steinernematidae. The record is from RNAcentral.